RNAcentral lists this long non-coding RNA (234 nucleotides) under Carica papaya (papaya). RNAcentral describes it as "long non-coding RNA (CPAP_LNC000713)". The record is from RNAcentral. Lineage: Eukaryota; Viridiplantae; Streptophyta; Magnoliopsida; Brassicales; Caricaceae.
CUGGGACCUGCUCGCAGUAGGCCAGCGUGCGUGGUGCCAAGCGUGCUAAGGUCCUGUGUGCACGGUAGGAGGCCUGGGCACCAACAUGAUAGCCUAUAGUGUGCCGGUCGGGGCACUACUACCUCGAGCAAUGCGUCACUAUUAACUCGGGCAGCACGCUGCCGUCGCCUUAGGUGGUGCACCGCCACCGCCGACGAAGGAAGCCCUCCUCCCUCAUUUUUCAUGACAAACAUC